CUUUAGGAGAGCCUUUAACUAUAUAACAGACCCAUCCUGCUUAGAUGAAGAGCUCAGUUUUAUUUAUAGAAUAGGCUUUGAACAUGGCUAUUCUAAACGUUUUUCAGAUAACAUCCUUCGUAAAGUUAAGGAAGAAUUUGGUCCCAGUCCUCCACAGAGUAGCCACACAAUGGAUGGAGCGGGAUUCAUAUCAAUACCGUAUCAAUUUAAACAAUCAGAGGUCGUGCGACAACUUGUGCAGAAAACACAGAAGAAAAUCGCCUACAAGAGGCCGCCUACUUUAUUUAACUCACUGCAGAAUGAAAGAGACAGA
RNAcentral lists this long non-coding RNA (313 nucleotides) under Androctonus crassicauda. Lineage: Eukaryota; Metazoa; Arthropoda; Arachnida; Scorpiones; Buthidae. The record is from RNAcentral.